UGAUAAUUUAAAUGGCCGCAGUAUACUAACUGUGCAAAGGUAGCAUAAUCAUUAGUCUUUUAAUUGAAGGCUGGUAUGAAUGGUUGGACGAAAUAUUAACUGUUUCAUGAAAAUUUAUAAUAGAAUUUUAUUUUUUAGUCAAAAAGCUAAAAUAAAAUUAAAAGACGAGAAGACCCUAUAAAUCUUUAUAUAUAGAUUAUUAGAAUUUUGUAGAUUUUUUUUAUUAUAAUAAUUAAUUGUAUUUUAUUGGGGUGAUAUUAAAAUUUAAUAAACUUUUAAUUUUAAAAAAUCAUUAAUUUAUGAAUAAUUGAUCCGUUAAUAACGAUUAAAAAAAUAAGUUACUUUAGGGAUAACAGCGUAAUUUUUUUGGAGAGUUCAUAUCGAUAAAAAAGAUUGCGACCUCGAUGUUGGAUUAAGAUAUAAUUUUAGGUGUAGCCGCUUAAAUUUUAAGUCUGUUCGACUUUUAAAUUCUUACAUGAUCUGAGUUCAAACCGGCGUAAGCCAGGUUGGUUUCUAUCUUUAAAAA
This 526-nucleotide ribosomal RNA is filed under the name Sarcophaga bullata (grey fleshfly). Its description in RNAcentral is "partial small subunit ribosomal RNA". It matches the Rfam family "Bacterial large subunit ribosomal RNA", at positions 1916 to 2654 of the family's 2925-position model. Lineage: Eukaryota; Metazoa; Arthropoda; Insecta; Diptera; Sarcophagidae. The record is from RNAcentral.